Molecule: ribosomal RNA, 253 nt
Filed under: uncultured bacterium
Lineage: Bacteria
Description: partial 16S ribosomal RNA
Rfam family: Bacterial small subunit ribosomal RNA
Source: RNAcentral
GCAAGUCGAACGGAGAAUAACAUUAGUUUACUAAAGUUGUUCUUAGUGGCGGACGGGUUAGUAACACGUGAGCAACUUACCUCAAAGUGGGGGAUAGCCUUCCGAAAGGGAGAUUAAUACCGCAUGUGGUCUACGGACCAAAGGGUGCUAAUUUAUUAGCACUCGCUUUGAGAUAGGCUCGCGUCCUAUCAGUUAGUUGGUGAGGUAAUGGCUCACCAAGACUACGACGGGUAGCUGUUCUGAGAGGAAGAUC